This 406-nucleotide ribosomal RNA is filed under the name uncultured bacterium. RNAcentral describes it as "partial 16S ribosomal RNA". It matches the Rfam family "Bacterial small subunit ribosomal RNA", at positions 338 to 741 of the family's 1533-position model. The record is from RNAcentral.
CCUACGGGAGGCAGCAGUGAUGAAUAUUGGUCAAUGGGCGCGCGCCUGAACCAGCCAAGUAGCGUGCAGGAUGACUGCCCUACGGGUUGUCAACUUCUUUUAUAAAGGAAUAAAGUGAGUCACGUGUGCCUUUUUGUAUGUACUUUAUGAAUAAGGAUCGGCUAACUCCGUGCCAGCAGCAGCGGUAAUACGGAGGAUGCGAGCGUUAUCCGGAUUUAUUGGGUUUAAAGGGACCGUAGAUGGGUUGUUAAGUCAGUUGUGAAAGGUUGCGGCUCAACCGUAAAAUUGCAAUUGAUAAUGGCAGUCUUGAGUACAGUUGAGGGAGGCGGAAUGCGUGGUGUAGCGGUGAAAUGCUUAGAUAUCACGAAGAACUCCGAUUGCGAAGGCAGCUUACUAACCUGCCACU